Molecule: ribosomal RNA, 484 nt
Filed under: uncultured bacterium
Lineage: Bacteria
Description: partial 16S ribosomal RNA
Rfam family: Bacterial small subunit ribosomal RNA
Source: RNAcentral
AUUGAACGCUGGCGGCAGGCCUAACACAUGCAAGUCGAGCGGAGGAAGGGCGCUUGCUCCUGGGUUCAGCGGCGGACGGGAGAGUAAGGCCUAGGAAUGUGCCUGGUAGUGGGGAAUAACGUCAGGAAACGGGCGCUAAUACCGCAUACGCUCUGAGGACGAAAGUGGGGGAUACUCGGACAUGGCGGUAGCAGAUGAGCCUAGGUCGGAGUAGCGAGUUGGCGGGGUAAAGGCCUACCCAGGGGGCGAUCCGUAACUGGUCUGAGAGGAUGAACAGGCACACUGGCACUGAGGCACGGCCCCGACUCCUACGGGGGGCCGCAGUGGGGAAUCUUACACGAUGGGCGAGUGCCUGAUCCUGCACUGCCGCGUGAGUGCAGAUGGUCUUCGGCUUGGUGAGCGAAUUAAUUUUGGAGUAAGGGCAGUAAGUUCAUCCCUUGCUGUUUUGACGGUACCAGCAGAAUAAGCCCCGGCUAACUUCGUG